RNAcentral lists this ribosomal RNA (406 nucleotides) under uncultured bacterium. Its description in RNAcentral is "partial 16S ribosomal RNA". It matches the Rfam family "Bacterial small subunit ribosomal RNA", at positions 30 to 526 of the family's 1533-position model. The record is from RNAcentral.
AUUGAACGCUGGCGGCAGGCCUAACACAUGCAAGUCGAACGAGUGGCGGACGGGUGAGUAAUGUCUGGGAAACUGCCCGAUGGAGGGGGAUCACUACUGGACACUGUAGCUAAUACCGCAUACCAUCGGAUGUGCCCAGAUGGGAUUGGCUAGUAGGUGGGGUAACGGCUCACCUAGGCGACGAUCCCUAGCUGGUCUGAGAGGAUGACCAGCCACACUGGAACUGAGACACGGUCCAGACUCCUACGGGAGGCAGCAGUGGGGAAUAUUGCACAAUGGGCGAAAGCCUGAUGCAGCCAUGCCGCGUGUAUGAAGAAGGCCUUCGGGUUGUAAAGUACUUUCAGCGGGGAGGCGUUACCCGCAGAAGAAGCACCGGCUAACUCCGUGCCAGCAGCCGCGGUAAUUC